This 72-nucleotide transfer RNA is filed under the name Ictidomys tridecemlineatus (thirteen-lined ground squirrel). RNAcentral's name for it is "Spermophilus tridecemlineatus (thirteen-lined ground squirrel) tRNA". It matches the Rfam family "tRNA". From Rfam's summary of the family: Transfer RNA (tRNA) molecules are approximately 80 nucleotides in length. Their secondary structure includes four short double-helical elements and three loops (D, anti-codon, and T loops). RNAcentral also lists the same sequence under 1 other name. The record is from Rfam by way of RNAcentral. Lineage: Eukaryota; Metazoa; Chordata; Mammalia; Rodentia; Sciuridae.
UGGGGUGCAGCUCUGUGGUAGAGUGCUUGCCUAGCAUGUGUGAGGCCCUGGGUUUGAUCCCCAGCACAACAA